AUUGUAAACUGCCGGGAGCAAUUGUUGUAACUACUUUACCAAUUCUUCCUGCCUUCAAAGCAUGAUUUGAAACAUAAAGAAAAUGGACGCCUGGUACUGAGAAAUACUUUGUUAUGUAAUAAUAUACUGCAUUCCUGCUAUUGGAAAGGAAGGACCUGAAAGGACCCCCAGGUUGCAAGUCACCUAACCUGAGUAUGGCCAGAAGAAUCAAGCAGGCCCAGGUCCUGACCUCAGAGCCAGCUGGAAUGAAAAAGCCAACCACAGGCAGAAUCUAAGUGCUUGGACCAAGCAACAGGGACCAAGUUAAAAAGCAAGGAAUGAAAUUAUUUUGGUAGAGCAGAAUGAGCAGGACAUCACUACAGAGCAUCCCUUGGUGGUCCUGGGGAAUAUUGCACAAGUGUUUCCCAAGAAGGCAGGAGCAUUCAUGAACACUUAAAGGUAAA
This is a long non-coding RNA of Sapajus apella (tufted capuchin), 443 nucleotides long. RefSeq lists it as uncharacterized. The record is from RefSeq and is a predicted model, not a curated record. The transcript is spliced from 4 exons. Lineage: Eukaryota; Metazoa; Chordata; Mammalia; Primates; Cebidae.